Molecule: ribosomal RNA, 460 nt
Filed under: uncultured bacterium
Lineage: Bacteria
Description: partial 16S ribosomal RNA
Rfam family: Bacterial small subunit ribosomal RNA
Source: RNAcentral
CCUACGGGUGGCAGCAGUGAGGAAUAUUGGUCAAUGGGCGGAAGCCUGAACCAGCCAAGUAGCGUGCAGGAUGACGGCCCUACGGGUUGUAAACUGCUUUUAUACGGGAAUAACGCGCCUUACGUGUAGGGCUUUGCAUGUACCGUAUGAAUAAGGACCGGCUAAUUCCGUGCCAGCAGCCGCGGUAAUACGGAAGGUCCAGGCGUUAUCCGGAUUUAUUGGGUUUAAAGGGAGCGUAGGCGGCAUGUCAAGCGUGCUGUGAAAUGGCCGGGCUCAACCCGGGCCUUGCAGCGCGAACUGGCGUGCUUGAGUCCGCGGAAAGCAGGCGGAAUGUGUCGUGUAGCGGUGAAAUGCUUAGAUAUGACGAAGAACCCCGAUUGCGAAGGCAGCUUGCUGCAGCGGAACUGACGCUGAUGCUAGAAAGCGUGGGGAGCGAACAGGAUUAGAUACCCUAGUAGUC